Molecule: ribosomal RNA, 460 nt
Filed under: uncultured bacterium
Lineage: Bacteria
Description: partial 16S ribosomal RNA
Rfam family: Bacterial small subunit ribosomal RNA
Source: RNAcentral
CCUACGGGUGGCAGCAGUGAGGAAUAUUGGUCAAUGGACGCAAGUCUGAACCAGCCAUGCCGCGUGCAGGAAGACGGCUCUAUGAGUUGUAAACUGCUUUUGUACGAGGGUAAACGCAGAUACGCGUAUCUGUCUGAAAGUAUCGUACGAAUAAGGAUCGGCUAACUCCGUGCCCGCAGCCGCGGUAAUACGGAGGAUUCAAGCGUUAUCCGGAUUUAUUGGGUUUAAAGGGUGCGUAGGCGGUGGGAUAAGUUAGAGGUGAAAUCGCGAGGCUACACUUCGGAAUUGCCUUUGAUACUGUGCGGCUAGAGAGUAGUUGCGGUAGGCGGAAUGUAUGGUGUAGCGGUGAAAUGCUUAGAGAUCAUACAGAACACCGAUUGCGAAGGCAGCUUACCAAGCUACUUCUGACGUUGAGGCACGAAGGCGUGGGGAGCAAACAGGAUUAGAUACCCUUGUAGUC